CCUACGGGGGGCAGCAGUGGGGAAUAUUGGACAAUGGGGGCAACCCUGAUCCAGCCAUGCCGCGUGUGUGAAGAAGGCCCUCGGGUUGUAAAGCACUUUCAGUGAGGAAGAACGCCUGGUGGUUAAUACCCAUCAGGAAAGACAUCACUCACAGAAGAAGCACCGGCUAACUCCGUGCCAGCAGCCGCGGUAAUACGGAGGGUGCGAGCGUUAAUCGGAAUUACUGGGCGUAAAGCGCGCGUAGGUGGCUUGAUAAGCCGGUUGUGAAAGCCCCGGGCUCAACCUGGGAACGGCAUCCGGAACUGUCAAGCUAGAGUGCAGGAGAGGAAGGUAGAAUUCCCGGUGUAGCGGUGAAAUGCGUAGAGAUCGGGAGAAAUACCAGUGGCGAAGGCGGCCUUCUGGACUGACACUGACACUGAGGUGCGAAAGCGUGGGUAGCAAACAGGAUUAGAUACCCGGGUAGUC
This 465-nucleotide ribosomal RNA is filed under the name Vreelandella stevensii. RNAcentral's name for it is "partial 16S ribosomal RNA". It matches the Rfam family "Bacterial small subunit ribosomal RNA", at positions 338 to 795 of the family's 1533-position model. Lineage: Bacteria; Pseudomonadati; Pseudomonadota; Gammaproteobacteria; Oceanospirillales; Halomonadaceae. The record is from RNAcentral.